GCUGCCUUUGUGGCAAAAAAAAAGCAGAACGUGCUGGGAACAUUCAGUAGGUCAGUCAGUCUCUGGAGAGAGGAUGUACACCUCACUGUUCAUUUCAGAACCAGUUUUCUCUGCCUCCUUUAACUCAGAAAUUAUUCGGUAGAAUAUAAUUUGGACAGAACUUGUUUUAUCCUUCCAAUGUAAAAUAAGAUCGACUUAAAGCAUCGAGCUUGCACUUUGAAAGCAUUAAGUUCAAUAGUAAUUAAUAGAGAAAAAAAUCCGAUCAGUUUUUCAGCCGAAUAUUGGAUACGUUCAGUAAUGUCAGCUUUAAUUGUUCAUGGCACAACAACCACCGUUUGACGUUACAUUGACAAUGUUAGACAAAGACAUGGCGUACCGAGAUAAAUGGGAUCUUAGGAAAGUGGUAACGAUGUCAUAUUACUGCAAGCGUACAAAAUAAACAGAAGUUUAAAAAAAAUUGGAUUUCAUUGAAAUGAUGAGUGGCAUUGUCAUUUUGCUGUUCAUUCCAAUUGUGGAAUAGCAUUUAUAUUUAAGAUUUAAAAUAUGAAGAAUUCACACAAUUUAAUGGAGAGAUGGAACUACUGAGUGCUAUUAUAUGCCCACGGAUGGGCGUCCAAAUAAUUCGUGCUACAAUGGCAAGUCUCUGAUUUCCAACAAGGGGGUGACGGAGCUGAUUUUGCCAAUCUGGAGCGUCAGAUGGCAAUUCUGAGCAAUUAUUGUGUGGUGUCUCCCAUCUGUAUGGUCUCUGUUGCUGUUUCUAUUCUGAUGGCAGCAAAGAAAGGGAGAAAAUAACUGGAGGACGGGUAAGAAGUUGGUAGAGUGAUUAAUCCAGCAAGAGAAACCGAGCAGAUUCGCGUCCUGUUACAUCUCUGCAACGAGUAGCGGCGGCGGGAGCGAGAGGGGUUUCUCUCUCUCUCUCUCUCUGUCAUUCUCUUGUUGGCAGAAACCCAGCUCUAUUCCAGCGCCCGCACCGAAUAGAUAUAACAGAGCGAGACCGACUGCCGUGCAGAAACGAGACUAUGAUCCGGGUUUGUUCUUCAUUUCUCCUCCACCCACCCGCCCCCCAACCACGACCACUACCCACGAGUCGUGGCGUCAGCAGAGCUGGGAAAUCAUUCCCCUAAUAAGCAUCGCCAGCGGUUAGCAUCAAAGAUAAAGGAGGGGAGCCGCUGCCAGGCUCCUGACAAGUGAAUUGCCCGACAGCCGAAGCCCAAUCGUGCACACGGUAACACCACAGCAGCAGCAAGAACAAAAAGAGAGUUUGCACAAGCCCACCCCUCCUCCGCACGGCCAGUCCUCCUGCUCUCCUUGUGUUGUCCGGCACAGGACUGGUGCCUGGUUUUGGUGAUGGUCAGGAGGCGGGUGCUGUGCAGUGGCCGCCGCCGCUGAGGCCGGGCCGGGCGGAGCGGAGCGCGCGACAGUCGGACAGCCCCAGGUGUUCCCGAGCGUCACAAUCAGAACGGCCCGAGCCGCGGGCGGGAAAAGCUGCAGAGAGCCGGAGCCCGCGCCCCGGGUGGAUACCCACCCACACCAACACCAACAUCAACCAUGGGCUGCUGCAGCGGCAGGUGCACUCUCAUCUUCAUCUCCAGCCUGCAGCUAAUAUGUGUGUUGGAGAGACAGAUCUUUGAUUUCCUUGGCUACCAAUGGGCACCAAUCCUGGCCAAUUUUUUACACAUUGUCACAGUCAUUUUUGGCCUUUUUGGGACCAUCCAGUUCAGACAACGAUAUGUAAUCAGGUAUGCCAUCUGGAUGGUCCUCUGGGUGACAUGGAAUGUGUUUGUUAUCUGCUUCUACUUGGAGGUUGGAGGCCUUGCAAAGGAUACUGACCUGAUUAUGACCUUUAACAUUUCUAUGCAUCGCUCUUGGUGGAUGGAGAAUGGACCAGGAUGUGCAGUAGCAACUAUAACUGAUACUCCAGAAUGGGUACCAGAGGAUCACCGCUACAUUUAUAUCAGAGGGUGUCUCCUAGAAUACCAGUAUAUAGAGGUGGCACAUAGUUCACUACAAGUUAUCCUUGCACUUCUUGGAUUUGUUUAUGCCUGUUACGUGAUCAAAAUUGUUGCUGAAGAAGAAGACAGCUUUGAUUUCAUCGGAGGGUUUGACUCAUACGGCUAUCAGGGCCCACAGAAAACAUCUCAUUUACAGUUGCAGCCCAUGUACAUGCUCCACAGAUGACCCAUCACCCUGCUCAUCCAGUGCAGAGAACCCAACCUUCUCCUCAGAGAAUGGUCAAAAUAAACUGGCAACUGGCAACACCUUAAUUUCAAAGAUUCUAGUGGUGAUAACUUUUUAUUGUGCAAUGUGGAGCAUGGCUGACCAUUCUUCAAGUGGUGGCCCAGCCCAGAGUCUUGGGACAACAGAAGACCCAACCAAAAUGCAGGCAGAUGAAAUACUUCAAAGAUUUGAAACUGUACACCACAACCAGCAAUCUUCCUCCAGUUGGUUGGAACAUGCUGAAAAAUAAUGCUGAAUUUUGGUGCCUCGAAGAUGAAACUAAAGUAUUGUUGCCCUCUACAGGCUAAUAUGAAAAUCUCAUGGCAUUAUUCUCGUGUGAGUCCAGAUUGCCAAUUAUAAGUGCAAGUGUUCAUCAACAAAUUAGAUUAACUGUUUAUGUUUCAAGGUCAUUGUUGAAUAUAUAUUUUCUGGAUUAGCCAGACAUGGUGAAUUGAAUCAGUGCCAUAGUUUUACUAAGGAUUAAAUAAUGCAACCAAAUGUGAGCUUCUUUUCAUACAAGCAGCACAUUUGCCUUAAUACAUGAAAGUCUAAACAUCUGUAAAUGAGUUAAAAUCUGGGCAUUUUUUAUAACGUUAAAACAUUUCCUGAAUGAUUACUGGUGGAGUUAGCACUCUCUGAUAAACUGCUAUCACAUGGCUGUGCAGGAGAUGCUUUGCAUACCGAAGGUCUUCAGUGAAUAGCCCACAUCAUCGUUUUUUUAUUCCUACACAAAAGUAAAUGUGAAGCUGUGGAGGAAAUAGGCAGCAGUAGUAUAUGUGAAUAGUUGAAAGCCUUUAUAGGUCAUGUGAAAUAAAGCUGAAAGAGCCAAUCAAAUGUGGUAGUUGAGAAUAGUGAAGAGAGAUUUGUUUCUUAUUCCCACUGCUUCUGCUGUCGACUAAAACUAGAUAUUGUUUUCUACCUUAAUGUAUACAGCAAGUAUUACGUUUGAACACAGGGAUAUAUGUACAUUUACAUGCAUUUAUGCAAAUUAAAAGUUAGAAGUUGUAUUUAUUGUUAUUUUUUAAUGCACCAAUCUGUUGAAAUACUCUGUGGUGAUCAUCUUUGUUACUACCUGUAUCAAAGGAACAUGACUUUCGUAUCUGUGUUAGUGCUCUGUUGGUCCUAUGGUAUUUGGGGGAAACAAAAUCUGCAGUAAAAUAUGUCUCAAACAUAUGUCUUAGCUGUAUUUGUGGUUCAUUGUUAUGCUUCACUUGGUAAUUUGGCAGGACUACUAAGAACCAAAUUGUAGUGAUGUGCUUGUGAAAAUGUUCUCUAACUGCCAACUCAAAAACCCCUUUUUUUUUGGCAAAUGCUUUGAUCGAUAGCAAAUGUUGCAACCCAGAGUUAUACUUCCAGUUUUUAAAUUUAAAUCUCUAUUUAUGACAUUACAAGAUUACAGUGAUUAUUCCAUUGCUAACAUAAUACCAGAGCAUUUCAACUUCACAAUCUUUCCUUUGAGAUACACAUUUGAUGAUAUGGUGAGUAAAAGCAGAUUGCUGAUUCUCAUUUGAUGAUAUUGGUAAUAAUCCAAAAACCAAGGGAAAACGUUAUCCAAAAGGAAGUCUAUUGUCUGUGCAAAAUGUAAUUAUUUGAGGUCAUGUGAUUGUCUGGAUUGGAAUCCUCAGUAAUGUAAAAAAAAUUUAGACAAAAACUGCCUUUGAACUCAGCUUACAUUAGCUGUGCUUUAAAAAUGGAAACCUGGGCUGACAUAUGUGGAUUUUCUUUUGCCUUAAUAUAGUCUGAGCAUCACAGGGCAGAGAUUCAGCUUGGGUAGGAGUAUAAAAUAUCAAAGCAGCCACCUGUUACUAAUGUUUAAUCAACCUAUUCAUAGAUAAUUAUGACACAUCUCUGGCACAGGUGGAACAUGAAUGUAGGCCUCCUUGCUCAGAGAUAGUGACAGUACCACAAGCCACCAGUUAGAUUCCUAGUUCAAUAUUCAGUCCUAUUGACUUCAAAAGCUCUGAAUAUGAGAUAGUGGAUGUCAGUGAAUUGGAUAUCACUUGUUCUUGAUUGCCACUCCAAGAUGAAUUUCUACCCCCAAGGUUCUUUAUCAACAUCAUCCAAAACUGAACAAUAUUAAGAAUAGUAUACGUAUAAUAAUUUUGACAUCAUUAGUGAGUAGUCAGAUAUUGAAAUAAUGACUGCAUGCUAAAUGAUUAAGCCCAGUCUUAGUUUGGUCUGUAUAAUUCUACAGGGAUGUUUACAACAGGGCCAGUGAAUAAAUUUUUAUCUUCACCAAAUCUUAUCCAAAGAAUGAAAAUUGGGCAUCUUCUAUUAUAGGCAGAUCAUCUACUUCACCAGAAUUCUGUUCAAGUAGUGAUGAUGAACAAAGUUUGGGUGAAGAUUUGUAGCUCGGUUGCUCGUUGUUGUGGUUCUGUUCGCCGAGCUGGA
Chiloscyllium plagiosum (whitespotted bambooshark) is the source of this 4608-nucleotide non-coding RNA. NCBI's taxonomy places the organism in Eukaryota, Metazoa, Chordata, Chondrichthyes, Orectolobiformes, Hemiscylliidae. The record is from RefSeq and is a predicted model, not a curated record.